Panicum virgatum (switchgrass) is the source of this 930-nucleotide long non-coding RNA. RefSeq lists it as uncharacterized. The transcript has 2 exons. NCBI's taxonomy places the organism in Eukaryota, Viridiplantae, Streptophyta, Magnoliopsida, Poales, Poaceae. The record is from RefSeq and is a predicted model, not a curated record.
UGUCCUCCUCCAUGGCAUCGAAGUAGGUAUCGCUAACUAAAAAAAACCUUACAUAUUAGUUGUGUACUGCAUAUGGGCCAUUCACACAAUAUAUGCAUGUUUGAUGUAACCUAGUGUGUCUAUUCAUGCCAUUGAUGAGAAAUAAAAUCAUUGCGCAGAAUUAUGAAAAGAAAGAAGAUCAGUGUAGGUUACUGAUCAUACUCUGUUGCAUUUCUUCCUGUUGCGCAGGGACUAGUAAAUCGAGAUCAAAAUCAUCUUGUUCAUCAGGAACAUCAAAGACGAUAUCUCCAUCUGCUUGCUGUUCAAUAUUAGCAGGCUGCACAUUGAGGUCUGGUAUGGCUUCUUCAUCUGGUUGGUGUUCAUCAUAAGUAGGCCACACAUUGAGGUCAGGUAUGGCCUAUCCAAUUGCUUGGUGCUCAUCAUCAGCAUCCACUACAGUAAGCAAUCUCACUUCCAACAAGUUGUGCUUCCUGUGCUUCAUGGAAUUGGAAGAGUUGUUCCUCAUCCGGUGGCCCCUGAUUCAGGUCUGUUAAGGCUGCAUGGAUUGGGAAUGGUGGUUCAUCUGGUGGCUCCUCAGCGUCUCCUAGAUCUGGUGGUUGUAAGUUGAGAUAAAAAACCAUGGGAGCUGGAGCACUCUAAGCUGUGAGCAUCAAAUGAAAGGAGGAGAGGAAGAGUUGUCUGGUGGCAACAGGCGUGUGCUUUAGUUGUAGUAUGUGAAACCGACUUCAAAUUGAAAUUUCAAAUGUAUGGUUGUGGUUUUUUUUUCUGCUUACUUCCAUUUGUGAAAUGUGGUUGUGUAUAUUGUGUGGCUGUUGUUGUCCCACGUGGGUGAUAUUUAUGAGGCACCGUGUACGGUCUGUUGUGAUGAAUUCUCUGGAUGCAAUGAUUACUGACUGGGUUCGAAUAAAGAGAGCAGGGUCACAUGCGUAA